UACGGGGGGGGCAAGCGUUGUUCGGAAUUACUGGGCGUAAAGGGCUCGUAGGCGGCCAACUAAGUCAGACGUGAAAUCCCUCGGCUUAACCGGGGAACUGCGUCUGAUACUGGAUGGCUUGAGUUUGGGAGAGGGAUGCGGAAUUCCAGGUGUAGCGGUGAAAUGCGUAGAUAUCUGGAGGAACACCGGUGGCGAAGGCGGCAUCCUGGACCAACACUGACGCUGAGGAGCGAAAGCCAGGGGAGCAAACGG
Molecule: ribosomal RNA, 252 nt
Filed under: uncultured prokaryote
Description: partial 16S ribosomal RNA
Rfam family: Bacterial small subunit ribosomal RNA
Source: RNAcentral